RNAcentral lists this ribosomal RNA (495 nucleotides) under Conchiformibius sp. canine oral taxon 289. RNAcentral describes it as "bacterial SSU rRNA". It matches the Rfam family "Bacterial small subunit ribosomal RNA", at positions 9 to 498 of the family's 1533-position model. Lineage: Bacteria; Pseudomonadati; Pseudomonadota; Betaproteobacteria; Neisseriales; Neisseriaceae. The record is from RNAcentral.
GAGUUUGAUUAUGGCUCAGAUUGAACGUUGGCGGCAUGCUUUACACAUGCAAGUCGGACGGCAGCACGGGUGCUUGCACCUGGUGGCGAGUGGCGAACGGGUGAGUAAUGCAUUGGAACGUACCGAGUAGUGGGGGAUAACUGUCCGAAAGGAUAGCUAAUACCGCAUACGACCUCAGGGUGAAAGCAGGGGACCUUAGGGCCUUGCGCUAUUUGAGCGGCCAAUGUCUGAUUAGCUGGUUGGUGGGGUAAANGCCUACCAAGGCGACGAUCAGUAGCGGGUCUGAGAGGAUGAUCCGCCACACUGGGACUGAGACACGGCCCAGACUCCUACGGGAGGCAGCAGUGGGGAAUUUUGGACAAUGGGCGCAAGCCUGAUCCAGCCAUGCCGCGUGUCUGAAGAAGGCCUUCGGGUUGUAAAGGACUUUUGUACGGGAAGAAAAGGUUGUGGAUAAUACCCAUGACUGAGGACGUACCGUAAGAAUAAGCCCCGGCA